UUUGAAGCUGCAGAAAAGUGAAUAAUCAAUUAAGUAUUGAUUUCUUGUAAGAUUUGGUAAAUUUCAAAGGCAAGACAAAGAGGAUGGCUUAAGGAAACACUGCAGGGACUUGGCGUAAAUUAGACAACUAACGGAGAUGCAGAAUAAAAUAACACCUCAAGUGAAGAUUUCCUUGGAAGAAUUAGCACUAGCUAUUGGAAGACAACGGUGGAUUUAAUCAAAAUAGAAGGCACGCAAGAAUUUCACCCGUGAACGAGAAAAAGGAGCUAAUUAUAACCACCUUUUAAAUGGAGCUAAUUUGACUGAAUGGAUGCAAAUGUGCUUUACUUAUGGAUGAAGAAACAAGCCUUUCUGCAUGAUCUUGGGAUCAUUUUAUCUGCUAAGCAUUGCAGCUCCUGUGCCCUUCUACACAUUUUUAUUUCCAGAGAAGGUAUUUAUAUGUAAACAAGAGCUAACCAUGCAAAAGAUUCAUCCAUCGGGACAAUAGACUACGGUGAAGUCUUCUUAUGAAGUGGAUUUGCUCCUUCAUCUUUCAGUACAUGAUGUCAGUCUCAAGCAAUAGCAGGCCUUUUAUUUCCCAGAAGAUACUCAUCACUGUGGGCAAACUAAUGACACAUGUUAAGGAAUUCAGUCUUAUGGAAAUCAUCUAA
This 650-nucleotide long non-coding RNA is filed under the name Mus spicilegus (steppe mouse). RNAcentral's name for it is "lncRNA (ENSMSIG00000015323.1)". Lineage: Eukaryota; Metazoa; Chordata; Mammalia; Rodentia; Muridae. The record is from RNAcentral.